RNAcentral lists this non-coding RNA (205 nucleotides) under [Eubacterium] siraeum. Its description in RNAcentral is "Eubacterium siraeum T-box sequence". It matches the Rfam family "T-box leader". From Rfam's summary of the family: Uncharged tRNA acts as the effector for transcription antitermination of genes in the T-box leader family. T-boxes are found upstream of many aminoacyl-tRNA synthetase genes and some amino acid biosynthetic genes usually in Gram-positive bacteria. The anticodon of a specific tRNA base pairs to a specifier sequence within the T-box motif, and the NCCA acceptor tail of the tRNA base pairs to a conserved bulge in the T-box antiterminator hairpin. Lineage: Bacteria; Bacillati; Bacillota; Clostridia; Eubacteriales; Oscillospiraceae. The record is from RNAcentral.
UUAAAGGCUUUGAAGGGAAAAAGUAGCGUGAAACGUGCUUUCAGAGAGUCGUUGGUCGGUGUGAAACGGCAGACGUUUUAAUGUGAAGAUACACCCCUGAGCUGUCCUUCGGGAACGGUAGCUACGUUAUAGCUUUUGAGGUUCGUGUGAAAUGGUCUAAACGCACGGAUAAACUGAGGUGGUACCGCGAUAAUUCGCCCUCUGU